GUAAUGGCAAGGAUGAAGGAAGCCACGUAGCGAGACAGCCGAGCCUACGGACAGAAACUUGGUACAAGGCUAAAUGGGAAUGGGCAUGACUGCACCACAAGUUGAAGCCCGAAUGGUAAACGUACUCCCCAAAGCAGUAAGCCAAGAGGUUGUG
Molecule: non-coding RNA, 154 nt
Filed under: uncultured Prevotella sp.
Lineage: Bacteria; Pseudomonadati; Bacteroidota; Bacteroidia; Bacteroidales; Prevotellaceae
Source: RNAcentral